This is a long non-coding RNA of Peromyscus eremicus (cactus mouse), 572 nucleotides long. RefSeq lists it as uncharacterized. Lineage: Eukaryota; Metazoa; Chordata; Mammalia; Rodentia; Cricetidae. The transcript is spliced from 2 exons. The record is from RefSeq and is a predicted model, not a curated record.
AUGUCCUGGUGUGCUGCAUAGAAGAAAGUCAGCGCUCUAGCAGAGGUGGCUGCCUAUCACAUUUGCCUCCAUCAAUGCUUUGCGCUCCAAGCUGCCCAUCAGAAUCACCCAGAGAACUUCAAACAGCAUGAAUUCUAAGGGGCCAGCUCUAGGGAUUCAGAUUCAGUUGACUAGGAAAUUAUUUAUUUAUAGUACUUAUUUUACGGACUUCUGAGAGAGAACAGGAAAUCGUGUGUCUUCACUACCUACAGCAACUAAGAAAGGCAGGUGUCUUUAGGGGAAAGCUUCUAUAAUAAGUCACCUCAACCUUUCCUCUGGCUGCAGCUGCAACCUUUCUGGGGAGAGGAGUUAAGCAUGCCCCAAAGUAUUCCUGUCUACCGUCUUUACAACACCAGCUAAGAUGUCCAUAAACGUUCCUGUUUGCUGCAUUUCCUUCUUGAGCUCUGACCUUAAACUGAGCAUGCCUAGCAAUGUACAAUUUCAACUGAGCAUUCUUGGAAAUAAGCCCACCCCUACAGUACUUUCCCAUGUGAAUAUUUAGGGACUCGAAUAAAAUCACCAUACAUUUUUUU